GUUUUGGUGGAGCUCCCGGAGUUUUGCAAGCGUAGCGGGCUUGCUACCUGCAGCCUACGGUACCAUUUACAGGUACGAGUCAUUUUUGAAGCUGAAUGGAUUUGAGCAACGUGAAAUAAAGUGUAUUUCUCAAGGGCACAACACACUGCCAGGAAUCCACCUCUGGACUGUGAACCGAAUACGCUGAGUACUAACCACUCGCCUUCGCAGGUUAUAAAAGUUAUGAUUUCGUGAAGGUACUCAGCAUCUUAAUUUAUUCUCAAUGUUGAUUGAAAAAUGUCUACAGAUUAAACGUCGCUAGAUAAUGUCACUAA
Long non-coding RNA from Octopus bimaculoides (California two-spot octopus), 314 nucleotides. Lineage: Eukaryota; Metazoa; Mollusca; Cephalopoda; Octopoda; Octopodidae. The record is from RefSeq and is a predicted model, not a curated record.